RNAcentral lists this ribosomal RNA (497 nucleotides) under uncultured bacterium. RNAcentral describes it as "partial 16S ribosomal RNA". It matches the Rfam family "Bacterial small subunit ribosomal RNA", at positions 28 to 507 of the family's 1533-position model. The record is from RNAcentral.
GAUGAACGCUGGCGGCGUGCCUAAUACAUGCAAGUCGAGCGAACGGACGAGAAGCUUGCUUCUCUGAUGUUAGCGGCGGACGGGUGAGUAACACGUGGAUAACCUACCUAUAAGACUGGGAUAACUUCGGGAAACCGGAGCUAAUACCGGAUAAUAUUUUGAACCGCAUGGUUCAAAAGUAAAAGACGGUCUUGCUGUCACUUAUAGAUGGAUCCGCGCUGCAUUAGCUAGUUGGUAAGGUAACGGCUUACCAAGGCAACGAUGCAUAGCCGACCUGAGAGGGGGAUCGGCCACACUGGAACUUAGACACGGUCCAGACGCCUACGGGAGGCAGCAGUAGGGAAUCUUCCGCAAUGGGCGAAAGCCUGACGGAGCAACGCCGCGUGAGUGAUGAAGGUCGUCGGAUCGUAAAACUCUGUUAUGAGGGAAGAACAUAUGUGUAAGUAACUGUGCACAUCUUGACGGUACCUAAUCAGAAAGCCCCGGCUAACUACGUG